UACGAAGGGGGCUAGCGUUGUUCGGAAUUACUGGGCGUAAAGCGCGCGUAGGCGGUCAUCCAAGUCGGCGGUGAAAGCCCGGGGCUCAACUCCGGAAUUGCCUUUGAAACGGGAUCGCUAGAGUCCGAGAGAGGAUGGCGGAAUUCCUAGUGUAGAGGUGAAAUUCGUAGAUAUUAGGAAGAACACCGGUGGCGAAGGCGGCCAACUGGCUCGGUACUGACGCUCAGGCGCGAAAGCGUGGGGAGCAAACAGG
RNAcentral lists this ribosomal RNA (253 nucleotides) under uncultured bacterium. RNAcentral describes it as "partial 16S ribosomal RNA". It matches the Rfam family "Bacterial small subunit ribosomal RNA", at positions 524 to 776 of the family's 1533-position model. The record is from RNAcentral.